AGUUGGCUUUUCAGAUCAUUCGCAGUUAGUCUUCCAGAACGCUCCACUGAUGGUGUAUGCUGUGCUGCAGCGUCCCCACCAUGCACUAGGCUACUGCAUAGGUUGAUAUGAGUCAAGAUAAUGUUUAGAUCGAAUCCGUAUGGCGAGUCGGAUCAAGACUGAAGAACAGAAAAGCAGCACGGGUUCAUUAGUUGCCAUGCAGUGGACGAGCGAGGAGCUGCCUGGGUGUUCGUCUGCUUGGCUUCGUGUCCUGUAGUUUUGAACUCCUGUAGAGCCUCCGACAGUCAGCAUUUGCAGGGAAGGUGGUGGAAUGCUGAUGGUCAUUUUUCGAUAAGGAGGAAUAAGAAUCGCUGCUUAAGUGUUUUGCCAUGCGAUGGGGGACGAUGGAGCAACCUAAAAACACCUGCGCUUCCUCGCACAUUAUAGUGCCUGGAACAAGGGGAAAAGAGUUUUCAAGCACCAAUUACGCACCAAGGACCAAGAGGCAAGACUAGCAGUGCAAGCCUUCGCCACAAUCCUCCACACUGCCUUAUCUUCAUCAAUUAAAGGUAGUGGAAGUAUCAGAGCACAAUACUUAGAAGGGAAGGAGGACUUAUAUCAAGAAGCAAAAGGGGAAGUUGUCAUCUAACUAUGUUCAUGCACGAUGAGAAGCAACAUCAACAAUGAUGGUGGAGGCAGUCCUGAUUGCUCAAACGGCCUUGUGGUGUGGACUGGUUCAGCCUGUAGGUAGAGAAAAGUGGGCAUAGCAUCAUGCACUUCAGGAUUGUAUAAGGCUAUUUACAUGUAUCUAUGCAAGCACCAAGAACUGUACCUUCGCUGUACUUCUAACGCAGAAACUUGAUGAUGGAUGGGAUUGGCUGAGUAUAUUCUGUAGUGUCUAAUGGUGUAUUUGUGAAACUGGUGGCCAUCAGAUGUCACUGGGAAGUUGAGAAACAGCCAAGCCAACCAAGAAAUUUAUUUACUAUUGUGAUUUUUCUGUACUUAACCCAUGAAGCUGUAUCAUUAUGUACUAUUGAAGUAAUAAUAGUCUUAGUAGCACACAGGGAAUUGUUUACCGUAAUGUAUCUUGUGAAAUCAGAGCUACAUACGAUGUUUAACGCUUGGCAAUUAUAUUAACAUUGUUCGUAUAAUAAAACUAAAAUGGUCUGUCCGUGUGAGUGACAGCAGACAGUGAGUGACAUCAUUGACGUGAUGAAGUCCUCAUUGGAUGAAAUCCAAACAAAUAUGAAUCGUAGCCAACCUCCGAUGACAGAUGAUCUCCGAGCUUAAAUAUCUGCUGUUAAACUAUUCAGUAUUAUUAACAUUAAAUUUCCACAACAGAAGUCGACACUUAAUCAUGGGGAGCAUAUGCCGGGGGUUGCAUUGCCUCGCCUACCUAAGG
Long non-coding RNA from Portunus trituberculatus (swimming crab), 1381 nucleotides. RefSeq lists it as uncharacterized. The transcript has 7 exons. The record is from RefSeq and is a predicted model, not a curated record. NCBI's taxonomy places the organism in Eukaryota, Metazoa, Arthropoda, Malacostraca, Decapoda, Portunidae.